CCUACGGGAGGCAGCAGUGAGGAAUAUUGGUCAAUGGGAGAGAUCCUGAACCAGCCAAGCCGCGUGAGGGAAGACGGCCCUAUGGGUUGUAAACCUUUUUUGUCGGAGAACAAAACCCGGGACGUGUCCCCGACUGCGUGUAUCCGCAGAAAAAGCAUCGGCUAACUCCGUGCCAGCAGCCGCUGUAAUCCGGAGGAUGCGAGCGUUAUCCGGAUUUAUUGGGUUUAAGGGGUGAGUAGGCGGUCCGUUAAGUCAGCGGUAAAACUGCGGGGCUCAACCCCGUCGAGCCGUUGAAACUGGCAGACUUGAGUUGGCGAGAAGUACGCGGAAUGCGCGGUGUAGCGGUGAAAUGCAUAGAUAUCGCGCAGAACUCCGAUUGCGAAGGCAGCGUACCGGCGCCAGACUGACGCUGAGGCACGAAAGCGUGGGGAUCGAACAGGAUUAGAUACCCUAGUAGUC
This 459-nucleotide ribosomal RNA is filed under the name uncultured bacterium. RNAcentral describes it as "partial 16S ribosomal RNA". It matches the Rfam family "Bacterial small subunit ribosomal RNA", at positions 338 to 795 of the family's 1533-position model. The record is from RNAcentral.